GACGAACGCUGGCGGCGUGCUUAACACAUGCAAGUGGAGCGACGAACCAGGGCUUGCCCUGGGGCAGAGCCGCGAACGGGUGAGUAACACGUGGGUAACGUGCCCCGAUGACUGGGACAACCCGGGGAAACCCGGGCUAAUACCGGAUGUGCCCCCUCCCAUCAGUGAGGUGUGUAAAGGAAGCUUCGGCCUCCGCAUCGGGAUCGGCCCGCGGCCCAUUAGCUUGUUGGUGAGGUAACGGCUCACCAAGGCUGCGAUGGGUAGCUGGUCUGAGAGGACGAUCAGCCACACUGGGACUGAGACACGGCCCAGACUCCUACGGGAGGCAGCAGUGGGGAAUCUUGCGCAAUGCGCGAAAGCGUGACGCAGCAACGCCGCGUGGGGGAAGACGGCCUUCGGGUUGUAAACCCCUUUCAGUUGGGACGAAGGUCGGGCGGUUAACAGCCGUUCCGGCUGACGGUACCUUCACAAGAAGCCCCGGCUAACUACGUG
RNAcentral lists this ribosomal RNA (492 nucleotides) under uncultured bacterium. Its description in RNAcentral is "partial 16S ribosomal RNA". It matches the Rfam family "Bacterial small subunit ribosomal RNA", at positions 28 to 507 of the family's 1533-position model. The record is from RNAcentral.